This 468-nucleotide ribosomal RNA is filed under the name uncultured bacterium. Its description in RNAcentral is "bacterial SSU rRNA". It matches the Rfam family "Bacterial small subunit ribosomal RNA", at positions 49 to 512 of the family's 1533-position model. The record is from RNAcentral.
UUACCAUGCAGUCGAACGGUAACAGGCCGCAAGGUGCUGACGAGUGGCGAACGGGUGAGUAAUGCAUCGGAACGUGCCCAAUCGUGGGGGAUAACGCAGCGAAAGCUGUGCUAAUACCGCAUACGAUCUAAGGAUGAAAGCGGGGGACUCAGCAAUGGGCCUCGCGCGAUUGGAGCGGCCGAUGUCAGAUUAGGUAGUUGGUGGGGUAAAGGCUCACCAAGCCAACGAUCUGUAGCUGGUCUGAGAGGACGACCAGCCACACUGGAACUGAGACACGGUCCAGACUCCUACGGGAGGCAGCAGUGGGGAAUUUUGGACAAUGGGCGCAAGCCUGAUCCAGCAAUGCCGCGUGCAGGAAGAAGGCCUUCGGGUUGUAAACUGCUUUUGUACGGAACGAAAAGGCUCUGGUUAAUACCUGGGGCUCAUGACGGUACCGUAAGAAUAAGCACCGGCUAACUACGUGCCACA